CCUACGGGAGGCAGCAGUGGGGAAUAUUGGGCAAUGGGCGCAAGCCUGAUCCAGCAACGCCGCGUGAAGGAAGAAGGCUUUCGGGUUGUAAACUUCUUUUGUCAGGGACGAAGCAAGUGACGGUACCUGAAGAAUAAGCCACGGCUAACUACGUGCCAGCAGCCGCGGUAAUACGUAGGUGGCAAGCGUUAUCCGGAUUUACUGGGUGUAAAGGGCGUGUAGGCGGGGAAGCAAGUCAGAUGUGAAAACCACGGGCUCAACCUGUGGCCUGCAUUUGAAACUGUUUUUCUUGAGUGCUGGAGAGGCAAUCGGAAUUCCGUGUGUAGCGGUGAAAUGCGUAGAUAUACGGAGGAACACCAGUGGCGAAGGCGGAUUGCUGGACAGUAACUGACGCUGAGGCGCGAAAGCGUGGGGAGCAAACAGGAUUAGAUACCCGAGUAGUC
This 443-nucleotide ribosomal RNA is filed under the name uncultured bacterium. RNAcentral's name for it is "partial 16S ribosomal RNA". It matches the Rfam family "Bacterial small subunit ribosomal RNA", at positions 338 to 795 of the family's 1533-position model. The record is from RNAcentral.